RNAcentral lists this long non-coding RNA (612 nucleotides) under Chrysemys picta bellii (western painted turtle). Its description in RNAcentral is "lncRNA (ENSCPBG00000024823.1)". The record is from RNAcentral. Lineage: Eukaryota; Metazoa; Chordata; Testudines; Emydidae.
AUGCUGCUGCUGCUUUCUCGCCUGCAGCCUCUGGGGACGAGCAAGGAGCAGAGUAAGGCGUUUCCCAUCCAAUGCACCAGCCCAGAGGAGGGGGAGAGCACGCAGGGGAGGGAGCUGCCGGGUGACAGGCGGUCACAGGUGCUGCUGUUGCCUCUGAGUCACGGGAGAGGCGUCUCUGCGCCCCAACCAGCUGCUGCUCCCCCUCCCCCUCCUCAAGGCUGCUGCGGCUGCCAGCCCAGACAGAGCCAACUCCUCACAGGCGGCCUUGCUUGCAGGAGGAGCAGCCACCGAGCCGCGCAGCCGGGGGAAGGAGCAGACGCCCUGGGAAGCCUGUUUUCUCAGGUUUUGGAAGUAAUAGAGUACUUGGUCACUAACUCCUCACCUGAAGGACGGUUGUAUGCUUCAACUUGGAAAGCUCUACGUUGAGGUUCUUCAGCUCUCUUAAUUCCCAGAUUCUCUUUCCCAGAAGAAAUGGACCCUGGUUGUGAGAGGCAUCCAAAUCAAUAAUGUGACAACGAUAACAUUGAAAGUCUGCUGGAGAAGAAUCGCUAAUUCUUAUCAGAAGUGGUUUUUUUGUUUUGUUUUUUAUCCCUUAUAAAACAGACCAGACCA